Molecule: ribosomal RNA, 744 nt
Filed under: uncultured bacterium
Lineage: Bacteria
Description: bacterial SSU rRNA
Rfam family: Bacterial small subunit ribosomal RNA
Source: RNAcentral
GUGAAAACCUGAGGCUCAACCUCAGGCCUGCAUUCGAUACGGGCAAACUAGAGUUUGGUAGGGGAGACUGGAAUUCCUGGUGUAGCGGUGGAAUGCGCAGAUAUCAGGAGGAACACCAAUGGCGAAGGCAGGUCUCUGGGCCAAUACUGACACUGAGGAGCGAAAGUCUGGGGAGCGAACAGGAUUAGAUACCCUGUGUAGUCCAGACCGUAAACGGUGGGCACUAGUUGUGGGAACCUUCGACGGUUUCUGCGACGCAGCUAACGCAUUAAGUGCCCCGCCUGGGGAGUACGAUCGCAAGAUUAAGACUCAAAGGACUGGAACGGGGCCCCGCACAAGCAGCGGAGCAUGCGGCUUAAUUCGACGCAACGCGAAGAACCUUACCAAGGCUUGACAUAUAGGGAAAAGUGGCAGAGAUGUCAUGUCCGCAAGGGCCCUAUACAGGUGGUGCAUGGUUGUCGUCAGCUCGUGUCGUGAGAUGUUGGGUUAAGUCCCGCAACGAGCGCAACCCUCGUUCUGUGUUGCCAGCAUCUAGUUGGGGACUCACAGGAGACUGCCGGGGUUAACUCGGAGGAAGGUGGGGAUGACGUCAAAUCAUCAUGCCCCUUAUGUCUUGGGCUGCACGCAUGCUACAAUGGCCGGUACAGAGGGUUGCAAUACCGCAAGGUGGAGCGAAUCCCAAAAAGCCGGUCUCAGUUCGGAUUGAGGUCUGCAACUCGACCUCAUGAAGUUGGAGUUGCUAGU